GAUGAAGAACGUAGCGAAAUGCGAUAAGUAAUGUGAAUUGCAGAAUUCAGUGAAUCAUCGAGUCUUUGAACGCACAUUGCGCCCCCUGGUAUUCCGUGGGGCAUGCCUGUCCGAGCGUCAUUGCUGCCCUCAAGCACGGCUUGUGUGUUGGGCCCCCGUCCCCGGUUUCCCCCGGGGACGGGCCCGAAAGGCAGCGGCGGCACCGCGUCCGGUCCUCGAGCGUAUGGGGCUUUGUCACCCGCUCUGUAGGCCCGGCCGGCGCCAGCCGACACCCAACUUUAUUUCUAAGGUUGACCUCGGAUCAGGUAGGGAUACCCGCUGAACUUAAGCAUAUCAAUAAGCGGAGGA
This 348-nucleotide unclassified non-coding RNA is filed under the name soil metagenome. RNAcentral describes it as "partial contains 5.8S ribosomal RNA, internal transcribed spacer 2, and large subunit ribosomal RNA". The stretch from base 1 to 120 matches the Rfam family "5.8S ribosomal RNA", at positions 35 to 154 of the family's 154-position model. The record is from RNAcentral.